Molecule: ribosomal RNA, 253 nt
Filed under: uncultured bacterium
Lineage: Bacteria
Description: partial 16S ribosomal RNA
Rfam family: Bacterial small subunit ribosomal RNA
Source: RNAcentral
UACGAGGGGUGCAAGCGUUAUUCGGAUUUACUGGGCGUAAAGAGUGCGUAGACGGCUUAUCAAGUCUGUUGUUAAAUUCCUCGGCUUAACCGAGGCUCAGCAGUAGAAACUGAUAGGCUAGAGUGUGGGAGAGAGAAGUGGAAUUCCCGGAGUAGCGGUAAAAUGCGUAGAUCUCGGGAGGAACACCGAUGGCGAAGGCAGCUUCUUGGACCAUUACUGACGUUGAGGCACGAAAGCGUGGGGAGCAAACAGG